RNAcentral lists this long non-coding RNA (272 nucleotides) under Homo sapiens (human). RNAcentral's name for it is "HSALNT0396536". The record is from RNAcentral. Lineage: Eukaryota; Metazoa; Chordata; Mammalia; Primates; Hominidae.
AUCCUCAGUGUUCUGUGUCCUGUGCUUAUAGAGGCCCGUCCUCUGUGGCCGUGUGACCUGCAAGUAUUGGGAGAGCCACAGCUAAACCCCGGGACCCCUGGAAGCCUAGAAAUGGGACCAUUGCAAUUUAGAGAUGUGGCCAUAGAAUUCUCUCUGGAGGAGUGGCAUUGCCUGGACACUGCACAGCGGAAUUUAUAUAGGGAUGUGAUGUUAGAGAACUACAGAAACUUGGUCUUCCUUGGUAUUAUUGUCUCUAAGCCAGACCUGAUCAC